ACAUGCAAGUCGAACGUGAUCCAGAGCUUGCUCUGGUGAAAGUGGCGCACGGGGUAGUAACGCGUGGAUAAUCUGCCCUGGUAUCUGGGAUAACAUCUCGAAAGGGGUGCUAAUACCGGAUAAGCUUACGGUUCCUUCGGUGACUGUGAGAAAAGAUGGCCUCUGUUUACAUGCUAUCGUAUCAGGAUGAGUCCCGUACCAUUAGCUAGUUGGUGGGGUAAUGGCCCACCAAGGCUACGAUGGUUAGCUGGUCUGAGAGGAUGAUCAGCCACACUGGAACUGAGACACGGUCCAGACUCCUACGGGAGGCAGCAGUGGGAAUUUUGCGCAAUGGGGGAAACCCUGACGCAGCAACGCCGCGUGAGUGAUGAAGGCCUUCGGGUCGUAAAGCUCUGUCAGAGGGGAAGAAAUGAAUUGAGCUAAUACCUCAAUUUCUUGACGGUACCCUCAAAGGAAGCACCGGCUAACUCCGUGCCAGCAGCCGCGGUAA
RNAcentral lists this ribosomal RNA (490 nucleotides) under uncultured delta proteobacterium. RNAcentral describes it as "bacterial SSU rRNA". It matches the Rfam family "Bacterial small subunit ribosomal RNA", at positions 53 to 523 of the family's 1533-position model. Lineage: Bacteria; Deltaproteobacteria. The record is from RNAcentral.